AAACGUAGGGGGCGAGCGUUGUCCGGAAUUACUGGGCGUAAAGGGCGCGUAGGCGGUUUCUUAAGUCUCGAGGUGAAAACUAUCGGCUUAACCGGUAGCCUGCCUGAGAAACUGGGAGACUUGAGGGCAGGAGAGGGGAGUGGAAUUCCCAGUGUAGCGGUGAAAUGCGUAGAUAUUGGGAGGAACACCGGUGGCGAAGGCGGCUCUCUGGCCUGUUACUGACGCUGAGGCGCGAAAGCGUGGGGAGCGAACGGGAUUAGAUACCCCGGUAGUCCACGCCGUAAACGAUGGGUGCUAGGUGUAGGAGGUAUCGACCCCUUCUGUGCCGUAGUUAACACAAUAAGCACCCCGCCUGGGGAGUACGGCCGCAAGGUUGAA
RNAcentral lists this ribosomal RNA (378 nucleotides) under uncultured bacterium. Its description in RNAcentral is "bacterial SSU rRNA". It matches the Rfam family "Bacterial small subunit ribosomal RNA", at positions 523 to 898 of the family's 1533-position model. The record is from RNAcentral.